Molecule: non-coding RNA, 22 nt
Filed under: Rattus norvegicus (Norway rat)
Lineage: Eukaryota; Metazoa; Chordata; Mammalia; Rodentia; Muridae
Source: RNAcentral
UUGAAGAACAAGCAAACGAAAG